UCCUACGGGAGGCAGCAGUGGGGAAUAUUGCACAAUGGGCGCAAGCCUGAUGCAGCCAUGCCGCGUGUAUGAAGAAGGCCUUCGGGUUGUAAAGUACUUUCAGCAGUGAGGAAGGCGGAUGCGUUAAUAGCGUAUUCGUUUGACGUUAGCUGCAGAAGAAGCACCGGCUAACUCCGUGCCAGCAGCCGCGGUAAUACGGAGGGUGCGAGCGUUAAUCGGAAUUACUGGGCGUAAAGCGCAUGCAGGUGGUGUGUUAAGUCAGAUGUGAAAGCCCGGGGCUCAACCUCGGAAUAGCAUUUGAAACUGGCACACUAGAGUACUGUAGAGGGGGGUAGAAUUUCAGGUGUAGCGGUGAAAUGCGUAGAGAUCUGAAGGAAUACCAGUGGCGAAGGCGGCCCCCUGGACAGAUACUGACACUCAGAUGCGAAAGCGUGGGGAGCAAACAGGAUUAGAUACCCUGGUAGUCCACGCCGUAAACGAUGUCUACUUGGAGGUUGUGGCCUUGAGCCGUGGCUAUCGGAGCUAACGCGUUAAGUAGACCGCCUGGGGAGUACGGUCGCAAGAUUAAAACUCAAAUGAAUUGACGGA
RNAcentral lists this ribosomal RNA (588 nucleotides) under uncultured bacterium. RNAcentral's name for it is "bacterial SSU rRNA". It matches the Rfam family "Bacterial small subunit ribosomal RNA", at positions 337 to 917 of the family's 1533-position model. The record is from RNAcentral.